UGCAUCGGCCGGGAAUCGAACCCGGGCUGCUCGCGUGGCAGACGAGCAUUCUACCACUGAACCACCGAUGG
RNAcentral lists this transfer RNA (71 nucleotides) under Cordylochernes scorpioides. RNAcentral's name for it is "tRNA-Gly". Lineage: Eukaryota; Metazoa; Arthropoda; Arachnida; Pseudoscorpiones; Chernetidae. The record is from RNAcentral.